Molecule: ribosomal RNA, 244 nt
Filed under: uncultured bacterium
Lineage: Bacteria
Description: partial 16S ribosomal RNA
Rfam family: Bacterial small subunit ribosomal RNA
Source: RNAcentral
AUCGAGUGGCGGACGGGUGAGUAACGCGUGGGUAACCUGCCUCAUACAGGGGGAUAACAGUUAGAAAUGACUGCUAAUACCGCAUAAGACCACAGUACCGCAUGGUACAGGGGUAAAAACUCCGGUGGUAUGAGAUGGACCCGCGUCUGAUUAGGUAGUUGGUGGGGUAACGGCCUACCAAGCCGACGAUCAGUAGCCGACCUGAGAGGGUGACCGGCCACAUUGGGACUGAGACACGGCCCAA